Molecule: ribosomal RNA, 308 nt
Filed under: uncultured archaeon
Lineage: Archaea
Description: bacterial SSU rRNA
Rfam family: Archaeal small subunit ribosomal RNA
Source: RNAcentral
CGGACUUACAAGCCCCUGGUUAAAUUCUACGGCUUAACCGUAGGCUUGCUGGGGGAACUGUGAGUCUUGGGGCCGGAAGAGGUCGGAGGUACUCCCGGGGUAGUGGUAAAAUGCUAUAAUCCUGGGGGGACCACCAAUAGCGAAAGCAUCCGACUGGGACGGACCCGACGGUGAGGGACGAAGGUCAGGGGAGCGAACCGGAUUAGAUACCCGGGUAGUCCUGGCUGUAAACGAUGUGGACUAAGUUUCCCUGAGACCACGAGUCUCAGGGGAGCUGAAGAGAAAUCAUUAAGUCCACCGCCUGGGAA